AAAUCUGGCGUCUUCGACGUCCGAGUUGUAAUUUGAAGAAGGCGACUUUGUAGCUGGUCCUUGUCUAUGUUCCUUGGAACAGGACGUCAUAGAGGGUGAGAAUCCCGUGUGGCGAGGAUCCCAGUUAUUUGUAAAGUGCUUUCGACGAGUCGAGUUGUUUGGGAAUGCAGCUCUAAGUGGGUGGUAAAUUCCAUCUAAAGCUAAAUAUUGGCGAGAGACCGAUAGCGAACAAGUACAGUGAUGGAAAGAUGAAAAGAACUUUGAAAAGAGAGUGAAAAAGUACGUGAAAUUGUUGAAAGGGAAGGGCAUUUGAUCAGACAUGGCGUUUGCUUCGGCUUUCGCUGGGCCAGCAUCAGUUUUAGCGGUUGGAUAAAUCCUCGGGAAUGUGGCUCUGCUUCGGUAGAGUGUUAUAGCCCGUGGGAAUACAGCCAGCUGGGACUGAGGAUUGCGACUUUUGUCAAGGAUGCUGGCGUAAUGGUUAAAU
RNAcentral lists this ribosomal RNA (484 nucleotides) under Kluyveromyces marxianus. RNAcentral's name for it is "eukaryotic LSU rRNA". It matches the Rfam family "Eukaryotic large subunit ribosomal RNA", at positions 118 to 639 of the family's 3401-position model. Lineage: Eukaryota; Fungi; Ascomycota; Saccharomycetes; Saccharomycetales; Saccharomycetaceae. The record is from RNAcentral.